UUUACGGGAGGCAGCAGUGAGGAAUAUUGGACAAUGGAGGCAACUCUGAUCCAGCCAUGCCGCGUGCAGGAAGACUGCCCUAUGGGUUGUAAACUGCUUUUAUACAGGAAGAAACCUACUUACGCGUAAGUAGCUGACGGUACUGUAAGAAUAAGGAUCGGCUAACUCCGUGCCAGCAGCCGCGGUAAU
This 189-nucleotide ribosomal RNA is filed under the name uncultured bacterium. Its description in RNAcentral is "partial 16S ribosomal RNA". It matches the Rfam family "Bacterial small subunit ribosomal RNA", at positions 338 to 524 of the family's 1533-position model. The record is from RNAcentral.